GCACCAUACACCUAUGUAUAAGCCCCCAUAUGUAUAAGCCCAUCAAGAAUGCUUAUAUCGGAGAUUUGUUAAUUCCGUACGCAUUUUUCAAGCUGAUGUGCAAUUUUUUUAAGAAUGACGCAAUAUGCAUUUAUAAAUAUAUAUCUGACAGUGCACUUUGCACUGACAAAAUUUGAUAUUUCAAGAAAGAGAAUUUAUUUCAAAACUAAAGUUGUGUGUGUAUUUUUCCUCACUUACAUGCACACUUCAAUGUACACAGAAAGAGGACUGUACUGUACAUAUUUGAUGCAGCAUAUUUACCUGACAGCACCUGGCCAGGGGAAAUGGCUUUGUUAUUCUGAAACAAUUGCCUUUGGGUGGAUAAAACUCCACAUGUAGAUGGCACAAUAUGUCGUGCUGCAAAGUAACCCACAUUUCUGCUGAACAGCUUCAAAGAACUGUAUUUAAAUCGCGUAUUUCGAGCAAAACAACAAAAACAAAGUACCGACUUGGCCGCCAUAUUGAAUUUUAAUAAGCCCGAGGUUAUUUUCGUGGUUACAAAACCCCGGUGAGAAACUCAAGGUUUUUGAAAAUUUAUCAAUUUAUGAAUAUCUGUCUUCAACUGCUCUAAUGUCUAAACAUG
This is a non-coding RNA of Paramuricea clavata, 622 nucleotides long. The record is from the annotation of a GenBank genome assembly. Lineage: Eukaryota; Metazoa; Cnidaria; Anthozoa; Malacalcyonacea; Plexauridae.